Molecule: ribosomal RNA, 347 nt
Filed under: uncultured bacterium
Lineage: Bacteria
Description: bacterial SSU rRNA
Rfam family: Bacterial small subunit ribosomal RNA
Source: RNAcentral
GGGCCCGCACAAGCGGUGGAGCAUGUGGUUUAAUUCGAUGAUACGCGAGGAACCUUACCAGGGCUUAAAUGUAGUCUGACAGGGGUGGAAACAUCCCCUCCUUCGGGCAGAUUACAAGGUGCUGCAUGGUUGUCGUCAGCUCGUGCCGUGAGGUGUCAGGUUAAGUCCUAUAACGAGCGCAACCCCUGCCGUUAGUUGCCAGCAUGUAAUGAUGGGAACUCUAACGGGACUGCCGGUGCAAACCGCGAGGAAGGUGGGGAUGACGUCAAGUCCUCAUGGCCCUUACGGGUUGGGCUACACACGUGCUACAAUGGCAGUGACAAUGGGUUAAUCCCAAAAAGCUGUCU